UCCAUUAAGAUCAAAGACUUCAAGUGUACCAAAGAAUAGUAAUGAGGUUGGUACUGGUGAAUAUGAAGUUUCGAGGAUUGUUGAUGUCUGCUUUGGUGAUCCUAAUAAGACAGGCAAGCAUGGAGUGAACUUUAAGGUGCAUUGGAAAGGUUAUGGUAGCAGUGAAGAUACAUGGGAACCAAUUGAAGGCUUAAGUAACUGCCAAGAAAGUAUACAGGAUUUUGUAAGAAAUGGGA
Pyrus x bretschneideri (Chinese white pear) is the source of this 236-nucleotide long non-coding RNA. RefSeq lists it as uncharacterized. The record is from RefSeq and is a predicted model, not a curated record. Lineage: Eukaryota; Viridiplantae; Streptophyta; Magnoliopsida; Rosales; Rosaceae. The transcript has 3 exons.